AUGUACAAGCAGAGCAUAGAGAUGAGGACUACCUGGAUUAUAUCGGUUCUUCUCUCAGGUUUUGUGUCUUCUUGGAACAUCUCCCAGUGGCCAGAUUCGGUUCAUGUCUAUGAAGGAGAUCCCGUCGUCCUUCACUGCUCUUUUUCCCAUCCUGCAGUAUCUGCUGCUACCUUCUGGUGGUCUUGGAAGCAUGUGGUUAUCUAUGAGUUCAAGACCAUACAAGGCGUUGUGGAGAAAAACAUAACAGACCUGUCUGACCCUCGGAUGUCCCUCAAAACUGAUUUGUCAGGAAAUAGCUAUAUAACUAUCAGUAAUGUGACUCCUGAGGACAGUGCUCUUUAUAUCUGUGCGAUGACAAUCUAUAGCCCUCUUCCUGUAACCAACAGAAAAGGUAAUGGGACCCUGGUCAUUGUGGUGAAAGGUCCCAUCACAGGUCAGUGUCAAUCCAGUUUUAAUCUCCUAUCUAUCAACCUUUCACUGUCCUAGAUUAC
Bufo gargarizans (Asiatic toad) is the source of this 491-nucleotide non-coding RNA. NCBI's taxonomy places the organism in Eukaryota, Metazoa, Chordata, Amphibia, Anura, Bufonidae. The record is from the annotation of a RefSeq genome assembly.